UGUAGAUUGACAUAGGCCAUGGUUGAUCAAGGUUGGAGUGUUGCCAGGAAUCUGUCAUGAAGAGGAAAAGAUUUUUGAAGUCACAGGAAUGGUCGGGUGAAGUUUGUCCUAAGUGUCAGUCUGCGUUGAGUG
This is a long non-coding RNA of Molossus molossus (Pallas's mastiff bat), 132 nucleotides long. RefSeq lists it as uncharacterized. The record is from RefSeq and is a predicted model, not a curated record. The transcript has 3 exons. NCBI's taxonomy places the organism in Eukaryota, Metazoa, Chordata, Mammalia, Chiroptera, Molossidae.